GAUGAACGCUGGCGGCGUGCCUAAUACAUGCAAGUCGAGCGAACGGACGAGAAGCUUGCUUCUCUGAUGUUAGCGGCGGACGGGUGAGUAACAUGUGGAGAACCUACCUAUAAGACUGGGAUAACUUCGGGAAACCGGAGCUAAUACCGGAUGAUAUUUUGAACCGCAUGGUUCAAAAGUGAAAGACGGUCUUGCUGUCACUGAUAGAUGGAUCCGCGCUGCAUUAGCUAGUUGGUAAGGUAACGGCUUACCAAGGCAACGAUGCAUAGCCGACCUGAGAGGGUGAUGGGCCACACUGGAGGUGAGACGCGGUCCAGACUCCUACGGGAGGCACCAGUAGGGAAUCUUCCGAAAUGGGCGAAGGCCUGACGGAGCAACGCCGCGUGAGUGAUGAAGGUCUUCGGAUCGUAAAACUCUGUUAUUAGGGAAGACCAUAUGUGUAAGUAACUGUGCACAUCUUGACGGUACCUACUCAGAAAGCCACGGCUAACUACGUG
This 497-nucleotide ribosomal RNA is filed under the name uncultured bacterium. RNAcentral's name for it is "partial 16S ribosomal RNA". It matches the Rfam family "Bacterial small subunit ribosomal RNA", at positions 28 to 507 of the family's 1533-position model. The record is from RNAcentral.